UGGGGAAUUUUGGACAAUGGGCGAAAGCCUGAUCCAGCAAUGCCGCGUGCAGGAAGCAGGCCUUCGGGUUGUAAACUGCUUUUGUACGGAACGAAACGGUCUUUUUUAAUACAAGGGGCUAAUGACGGUACCGUAAGAAUAAGCACCGGCUAACUACGUGCCAGCAGCUGCGGUAAUACGUAGGGUGCGAGCGUUAAUCGGAAUUACUGGGCGUAAAGCGUGCGCAGGCGGUUAUAUAAGACAGUUGUGAAAUCCCCGGGCUCAACCUGGGAAUUGCAUCUGUGACUGUAUAGCUAUAGUACGGUAGUGGGGGAUGGAAUUCCGCGGGUAGCAGUUAAAUGCGGAGAGAUGCGGAGGAACACCGAUGGCGAAGGCAAUCCCCUGGACCUGUCCUGACGAUCACGCACGAAAGCAUGGGGUGAAAAUA
Molecule: ribosomal RNA, 427 nt
Filed under: uncultured bacterium
Lineage: Bacteria
Description: bacterial SSU rRNA
Rfam family: Bacterial small subunit ribosomal RNA
Source: RNAcentral